RNAcentral lists this ribosomal RNA (253 nucleotides) under uncultured bacterium. RNAcentral describes it as "partial 16S ribosomal RNA". It matches the Rfam family "Bacterial small subunit ribosomal RNA", at positions 524 to 776 of the family's 1533-position model. The record is from RNAcentral.
UACGUAGGGCGCAAGCGUUGUCCGGAAUUAUUGGGCGUAAAGAGUUCGUAGGCGGUCUGUCGCGUCCGUUGUGAAAGCCCAGGGCUCAACCCUGGGUCUGCAGUGGAUACGGGCAGACUAGAGUCAGGUAGGGGAGAACGGAAUUCCUGGUGUAGCGGUGAAAUGCGCAGAUAUCUGGAGGAACACCGGUGGCGAAGGCGGGUCUCUGGGCCGAUAUUGACGCUGAGGAGCGAAAGCGUGGGGAGCGAACAGG